RNAcentral lists this ribosomal RNA (447 nucleotides) under uncultured bacterium. RNAcentral's name for it is "bacterial SSU rRNA". It matches the Rfam family "Bacterial small subunit ribosomal RNA", at positions 355 to 825 of the family's 1533-position model. The record is from RNAcentral.
UGGGGAAUCUUGGACAAUGGGCGAAAGCCUGAUCCAGCCAUGCCGCGUGAGUGACGAAGGCCUUCGGGUUGUAAAGCUCUUUUAGCAGGGAAGAUAAUGACGGUACCUGCAGAAUAAGCCCCGGCUAACUUCGUGCCAGCAGCCGCGGUAAUACGAAGGGGGCUAGCGUUGUUCGGAAUUACUGGGCGUAAAGCGUGCGCAGGCGGCUUUGCAAGACAGAUGUGAAAUCCCCGGGCUCAACCUGGGAACUGCAUUCAAAACUGACUGACUAGAGUAUGGUAGAGGGUGGUGGAAUUUCCUGUGUAGCGGUGAAAUGCGUAGAUAUAGGAAGGAACACCAGUGGCGAAGGCGACCACCUGGACUAAUACUGACACUGAGGUGCGAAAGCGUGGGGAGCAAACAGGAUUAGAUACCCUCGUAGUCCCUGAGCGGGCUGGCAAGGCGCAU